RNAcentral lists this ribosomal RNA (387 nucleotides) under uncultured Synechococcus sp. RNAcentral describes it as "bacterial SSU rRNA". It matches the Rfam family "Bacterial small subunit ribosomal RNA", at positions 56 to 490 of the family's 1533-position model. The record is from RNAcentral. Lineage: Bacteria; Bacillati; Cyanobacteriota; Cyanophyceae; Synechococcales; Synechococcaceae.
UGCAAGUCGAACGAACCUUCGGGUUAGUGGCGGACGGGUGAGUAACGCGUGAGAAUCUGCCCUCAGGAGGGGGAUAACGGCUGGAAACGGCCGCUAAUACCCCAUAUGCCGCGAGGUGAAAUGAAUUUCGCCUGAGGAUGAGCUCGCGUCUGAUUAGCUAGUUGGUGGGGUAAAGGCCUACCAAGGCAUCGAUCAGUAGCUGGUCUGAGAGGAUGAUCAGCCACACUGGGACUGAGACACGGCCCAGACUCCUACGGGAGGCAGCAGUGGGGAAUUUUCCGCAAUGGGCGAAAGCCUGACGGAGCAACGCCGCGUGAGGGAUGAAGGCCUCUGGGCUGUAAACCUCUUUUAUCAAGGAAGAAGAUCUGACGGUACUUGAUGAAUAAG